This 81-nucleotide transfer RNA is filed under the name Tetraselmis sp. CCMP 881. RNAcentral describes it as "tRNA-Leu". It matches the Rfam family "tRNA". From Rfam's summary of the family: Transfer RNA (tRNA) molecules are approximately 80 nucleotides in length. Their secondary structure includes four short double-helical elements and three loops (D, anti-codon, and T loops). Lineage: Eukaryota; Viridiplantae; Chlorophyta; Chlorodendrophyceae; Chlorodendrales; Chlorodendraceae. The record is from RNAcentral.
ACCCACUUGGUGAAAUUGGUAAACACGACAGACUUAAAAUCUGUUCCAUUUUGGUUGCCGGUUCAAGUCCGGCAGUGGGUA